GCCGGGCGUGGUGGCACGUACCUGUAGUCCCAGCUACUCGGAGGCUGAGGCUGGAGGAUCGCUUGAGUCCAGUUUUGGGCUGUAGUGCGCUAUGCCGAUCGGACGUCCCCAUCAAGUUUGGCAUCAAUAUGAUGGCCUGCCAUGAGCGGGGGACCACCAGGUUGCCUAAGGAGGGGUGAACCGGCCCAGGUAGGAAACGGAGCAGGUCAAAACUCCCGUGCUGAUCAGUAGUGGGAUCCUGCCUGUAAACAGCCACUGCACUCCAGCCUGGGCAACAUAUCAUGAUCACGUCUCA
This 295-nucleotide signal recognition particle RNA is filed under the name Cebus imitator (Panamanian white-faced capuchin). RNAcentral describes it as "Metazoan signal recognition particle RNA (ENSCCAG00000005172.1)". It matches the Rfam family "Metazoan signal recognition particle RNA". From Rfam's summary of the family: The signal recognition particle (SRP) is a universally conserved ribonucleoprotein. It is involved in the co-translational targeting of proteins to membranes. Lineage: Eukaryota; Metazoa; Chordata; Mammalia; Primates; Cebidae. The record is from RNAcentral.